Myotis davidii is the source of this 1083-nucleotide long non-coding RNA. RefSeq lists it as uncharacterized. The record is from RefSeq and is a predicted model, not a curated record. Lineage: Eukaryota; Metazoa; Chordata; Mammalia; Chiroptera; Vespertilionidae. The transcript is spliced from 2 exons.
AAAAAUACCCUCGGGUGAGGAUUAACAACAACAACAACAGCCCCUGCUUCCUUUAAGGGGUUUUAGGAACCAAUAAUUUAAGGAGGGAUCAACCCCCACCUCUGAGGUAACUUCGGGGAGAAGAAACAAUGAGGACCAGGAGGACUAGCAAGAUGUGGAGACAGAGCAUAGAGAUGCCAUGUACUUUACCUGAGGUUCUAGGAAUUGAGAUCUGAAACCAGGCCACCUGCUCCUGGCCCAAGUGCUUAAUCCCCAUGGUGAACCUGUUGACUCAGAAUCUUAAGAAAACUGAGGCCUAGACAGGAGGCAGGGCUCAAGCAGUGGUCCCUACAGCUUGGUAAAAAUACACACCACCCAUUUUCUUAGUGGCUCUAGUCUUCCUGGCCAAACUGGGAAUUUACAGGAACAUCUCCAAUGCAUUUCUUUCCUGCUUUACUUGCUGAGAAUUAACUCCUCUUGCCUGUCGCCAAGAUGUCUACUUAAUGGAAGACCCAUUCUCCCCAAACCCUGUUGUUUUAAAGAUGGCCUUAUUUAAAUGGCAGCCAGAUUGCCUCCAAGACAGGAGCUUAAACUCAUAAAAGGGAUCUUAGCGAUCACUUUGUUCCAUUUUUCCAAAGACAGAUGCAAUCAAAACCUUUGAAUACAAAUUUUUAAACUCAGAAUGGAAAUCAGUAUAGGAAUGGUCCAUUUCUACUUCAGGGGCAGCUUUUCUCUGUGGCCUCCUCUUGUCCAGGAGGCACACUGACCAGCCUAAUACAGGAAGCAGUCCACUCAACACAUGGCAAUAGAGCUUGCACCACACGCCAGACACCAGCCCCAGCCCCAGAUGCGCAAAGACAGGAGGCUGGUGACGCCAGCACAAGCCCAGGAGCCUUCUUCAGUCCAAGAUGUGGCUUCAUCAAAAUCCUGUCUGUCCCGGGGAGACCACGGGCGAAGGUCUUACACAGUGUGUUGCAUGAUUCCUCUUGCAUCACUUUUUUUCUACUUUAUUGGUUCUAUGUUUCUGAUUACAAAACAGGAAGAUUUGGAAAAUGCAAGAAAUAACUCAGAGAAAAUAAACAUAAUCGUUAUUCUUCCAUCAGA